RNAcentral lists this ribosomal RNA (810 nucleotides) under uncultured archaeon. RNAcentral describes it as "bacterial SSU rRNA". It matches the Rfam family "Archaeal small subunit ribosomal RNA", at positions 85 to 879 of the family's 1478-position model. The record is from RNAcentral.
ACGGCUCAGUAACACGUGGUCAAUCUACCCUCAGGACGGAGAUAACCUCGGGAAACUGAGGCUAAUAUCCGAUAGAUAAUGGAUCCUGGAAUGGUUCAUUAUUCAAACGGCACAUUGCUCAUGCGCAGUGUGUCGCCUGAGGAUGAGACUGCACCCUAUCAGGUAGUUGGUGGGGUAAUGGCCCACCAAGCCUAUAACGGGUACGGGCCCUGAGAGGGGGAGCCCGGAGAUGGGCACUGAGACAAGGGCCCAGGCCCUACGGGGCGCAGCAGGCGCGAAACCUCUGCAAUGCGCGAAAGCGCGACAGGGCCACCCCGAGUGCUAGCCGCCGAGGUUAGCUUUUCCUUAGUGUAGUAAGCUAAGGGAAUAAGCGGGGGGCAAGCCUGGUGUCAGCCGCCGCGGUAAUACCAGCUCCGCGAGUGGUCGGGACGAUUAUUGGGCCUAAAGCGUCCGUAGCCGGCCUAUCAAGUCUCUGGUUAAACCUCAAGGCUCAACCUUGAGAUCGCUGGAGAUACUGUUAGGCUAGGGGGCGGGAGAGGUUGAGGGUACUUCGCGGGUAGGGGCGAAAUCCUAUAAUCCGCGAAGGACCACCAGUGGCGAAGGCGCUCAACUGGAACGCGCCCGACGGUGAGGGACGAAAGCCAGGGGAGCGAAGGGGAUUAGAUACCCCCGUAGUCCUGGCUGUAAACGAUGCGGGCUAGGUGUUGGGUUGGCUUCGUGCCAACCCGGUGCCGCAGUGAAGACGAUAAGCCCGCCGCCUGGGAAGUACGGCUGCAAGGCUGAAACUUAAAGGAAUUGGCGGGGGAGCAC